Molecule: ribosomal RNA, 253 nt
Filed under: uncultured bacterium
Lineage: Bacteria
Description: partial 16S ribosomal RNA
Rfam family: Bacterial small subunit ribosomal RNA
Source: RNAcentral
GACGUAGGGCGCGAGCGUUGUCCGGAUUUAUUGGGCGUAAAGAGCUCGUAGGCGGCUUGUCGCGUCGACCGUGAAAACUUGGGGCUCAACCCCAAGCCUGCGGUCGAUACGGGCAGGCUCGAGUUCGGUAGGGGAGACUGGAAUUCCUGGUGUAGCGGUGAAAUGCGCAGACAUCAGGAAGAACACCAAUGGCGAAAGCAGCUCUCUGGGACGGUACUGACGCUGAGACGCGAAAGCGUGGGGAGCGAACAGG